RNAcentral lists this transfer RNA (72 nucleotides) under Camelus ferus (Wild Bactrian camel). It matches the Rfam family "tRNA". Rfam says of the family: Transfer RNA (tRNA) molecules are approximately 80 nucleotides in length. The record is from Rfam by way of RNAcentral. Lineage: Eukaryota; Metazoa; Chordata; Mammalia; Artiodactyla; Camelidae.
GAAGGUGUAGCUCAGUGGUAGAGCACGUGCUUAGCAUGCAUGAGGUCCUGGAUUCGAUCCCCAGUACCUCCA